Macadamia integrifolia is the source of this 6175-nucleotide long non-coding RNA. RefSeq lists it as uncharacterized. The transcript has 2 exons. The record is from RefSeq and is a predicted model, not a curated record. NCBI's taxonomy places the organism in Eukaryota, Viridiplantae, Streptophyta, Magnoliopsida, Proteales, Proteaceae.
CAUUCCGACAUCCAAGUCUCGUUUAGACACUAAUAGAGAAAGUUCUCUUGCAGCCUGUCAGUGCAAGCAACUUUCCUUUUUCUGUUUCACUUUUCUGUCCCCAAAAAUGGAAAUGUCUUGUUACUAAAGUUACACAACAUAUACUCGUUUUCUCGUCUACUUUUUUUGAGUCCUUUUGACUCCAAGGUUAAUCUCCAUAAUUCCAAUUUUGUAUCUAUCCCUACUUUUUGUUCCAUCCACUAAAUAUUAUCAUUAGCAAAUUGUACGUGCUAUGCACCAAGGGAGAUUUUGAAUGUCUCUUGUCAGCUGAUCUAUGAUGACCGCUAAUAAAUGUGGGCUUAAAGCUGGUCUUGAUGUAAUUACAAAUCCAAUUGUAACUAGGAAUUCACUACUUUGCCACCAUAGUUCUUGCACUGGUCAAGACACCGUUAAACGCAACAUUAAGUAUGUCCACAUAUUUACUCAACACAAUUUUCUUAUCUAACAAUUGUUACAUUAACUCCAUAGGGUUUCUAUCGUAAGAUUUUUCAAGUUAAUAAAGACCAUAGGGAGAUCCUCUUUACAGUAGUUAAAUCUUUUCAUUAGUCUCUUAAGCAAAUAAAUAGUUGUCCUUUGCGGAGUUCUAAAUCUAGAUCUCUUAGCCUUAAUGGAUGUUUGAACUUCACAAUCCCACCACUAAUUUUCUAGGUGAAUGUCAUUUCCUUUAGAUUAGCCUAAGACUUCUUCAUCUAUAUUCUUAAUAUAAGUAGCCAUCUCAUUCCAUAUUAUGGUAGUGUCUCCAUCAAAGUCCCUUUUUCUAUGCUUUACUAAUUUAUCAAUAAAUUUCUUCAGUUGUGCUCCUCUUAAGUUCCACCAUCUUAUCCUAGGUCAAAUGAUUCACAUUUCUUACGAUUUAAUGUUUUAAAAUACAUAUUUGUGACCAUUAAUCAAGAGGUUUUAAGAUAAGUAGAUCAAAGAUGGAUUAUAUAAUGUGUAACUUUAGUCACACUAUGAUGGAUUACCGAUAUGGUGAAAAUUGAGGAGAGAGAGAGUUUCCACCAAGUGAUUAUUUUAGAUAUAUGGGGUCAACUACAAAUAAAGAAGGUGACAAAGAGGAUGAUGUUGCAUAGAGAAUUAAGGGAAGUACAUUUUUGCAUUUUCUAAAACAGAAAAAAAAGCAUGCAAAAAAAAAAAAAAAAAAUAUGACACCAUGAAUGCGUAGAUCAGGCCAUUCUAACUAACAUAUAAAAUUUUGACGUCAUUCUAUUAUAUUUAUAAGUGUAUUGUAAAAAUUUUUUUUUGGGGGAAAAAUGGGGUUUACAUUUUUGCUCAAAGAACCCUUCCUUAGGUAGAUAUGCUUUGGUUGUGUAAGAUACUAAGAUCUAAGUGUAGAAUGAAGCUUUGAUGAAGAAAUCCUCAAAUCUUGGCUGAUUUUCAAUGUUUCCCACUUCGCACAGUGGAAAAAGGGGAGCCAUAUUUCGAAAUAUCUUGGAAAGGGCUUCUUUCCCACGAGACAAGCCCUUUUAUAAGGGAUGGUUGGACCAAACUGUUUGUACACAUCGGUUUGGUCGAAAUUUCGACCACAUGUGUCGAUAUGGCUUGAAACUUCAUACUUGUUUAAGUACCUUGUGGUUUCAUCUCGGUCUCAUGCGAAAUGGUUGAAAUUUCGACCAUUUUGAUUGAAAUAAUGAACCAUGGUUCUUGGUCCCAUGCAAAAAGGUUUGGCUAAGAUUUCCACAAUGCUAGCUAUCGACCUGACACCCCAACCCUCAUCCUUUAUCCAGGCUUGAGACCGGUAGCACAAAACAGUAGCAGAGUUAUUUUGCUCCGAUAUCAUAGUUAUCAAGGCCUAGGCGACCCAAGGCAUUGGAGGCCGCUUAGGAGAUAAUGCGCUCGCCUAGGUGCUCUAGCAUUAGCAUAACAGUAGUAAAACUUACACCAACAACAACAUUACAACAACCACAAUACAGAUUGAAUCUAUACACUAGUUUGCCAUAUAUCUUGCAACAUUGUUACCACAUUACAGCAUCAAUAAUAUAGCAAAUCAAUGAAUAUAUGUUACUAUUAGCAACAACGUUAUAACAACAAAAAGCACAGUGAAUAUAUGCUACUAUUUGCACUAACAGUGAACAAAGUACACUUUGCACGUCUCAGGGAGGAGAUGGCAGAGAGAGGGUUAGACAUGGGAGAGAAAGGGAGAGAAGCAGGAGGCUUUCGUGGUGUCAGGGUUUCAGGGAAGAGUUUUGAGAUGGAGAAAGAGGGGGGGGGUUGGGUAAGAGAAGAGAGCAGGAAGACUAUGAGUAGAAGAAGAAGAAGAAGAAGGUACAUGUCAUCAGAGUUGAGGUGAAUCACCACUCGUUGAAUUCCCCGCCUGCGAAAGAGUGGAAUCACAUAGGCUCAGCAGUAGUGGGGUUAGGGUUGAAGUUGGGAGAUUACGAUAAACGCCUUCCUUUCUAUAUAUAUAUACAUUUUUUUUUUUUAAACUAUGAUUGAGUGUAUCACACUGUACCCUAAUGAUAUACGUAAACCAAUACGUGAGUUAGAAAAGGAUUCUAAUUCAUUUAAUUAAAAAAAAAAAAAAAGAGUAAAAACAUAAAGAUGUUUGAAUGCCUUAACUUUUCAAAUGCUACUAGAUGCCAAGGUGGUGCCUAGGUGAUGCCUUGACAAUUAUGCUCGAUACACCUUGACUGAUUAUAGAACUUGGACAGAAAGGCUGCACUUGUGUUAUUUCUCUUGGCCAAUUUUGUUUCUAUGUUUUGCUUGGUGUGUGAUCUACAAGACAUUUAUAUAGUUUCUAUAAUAUGUUUUUGUGAACAUAUAUUCUCAGCAUGAUUUAUCCUUCAAUUGAUCUGCAUAGGCAUUUAUGCAUGGGAAAAUCCAGUUCUCGGAUGCUUUUGGAAGAAAGGCAUGCUCUCGAAUAUUUUUCUGUGAGGGGGAGAGUUAAUGUUAAGUCGAUAGUGGGAGAAGUCUUAAGAUAGUCAUUGUUAUUUACUUUAGCUAGUUUUUGUUUGUAAUUAGACUCUUAGUAGAUUUCCUACUAAGAGUUGAUUAAUAAGGGGUGUCUAGUAAGUAUGUGGACAUAAUUAAAGACAUCCAUGAGGGCAUGUUGGUGAGUAUGAGAACUAUGGGAGGUCAUGGUAUAAGGAUCCUCCUUAAGUCUCUAUAUAUUUACACUUAUCAUGGAUGAUUUAAGCAAGAAAAUUCUAGGAGAGGCUCCGUGGUGCACGUUUUUUGCCAAUGAUAUUUAGUGGAUGAUACAGGGAUGUGGAUCAAGCUUGCACAAGGAAGGGGCUCUUGGCCCGAUCGAACGAAGUCCAAUGUUAGACCAGCCGGCUCCCACCUUGGCCCCAUCUAACCAGCCCGAAAGGAAAGCUGGAAAACAUUGUUCAUGAGUUACAUGAACAGUAACUACUUCAGAUUUUGUUCAAUGAAGAUCUUCUAGAAGCCAUACAUAUACAGUUGUCCCUUAUUGUUGAAGAAAGCAACUUCAAAGAAGAGUCCCAGCAGCCACUGAAUUGGCCUAGUUAGCAUAGGAUUUAGUUUCCUGUUUUGGAUUGUCAAGUUGGUCAAGUUAAUUUUCUAUUUGUAACUUAGGCUAGUUUCCUUUUAAGUUCAAUUGUUAGUUGGAGUAAUGUAGUAAGUUAGAAGUAAGGAAGUUUAUUUCCAGCUCUUAGUUUCCUAUUUGAGUUUCUUAUUUGAGUUUCCUUUUUUAUUUCACUCAUUUAAGCCUAUAAAAGAGGCAUCCAUCAAUUGUACUCAGUUACAAAAUUGAUUAGUGAAAAUUGUGAGGCAAACUCUUGGUUUAACAACUGCUAUUGAGAGGUGAGAUGUCUAACCCAUUGAGGGGUGUGUGAUACCCAAAACCGGAGGGCUGAGAUACCCAUUCCAUCAUUCUUCUUCAACCUUUCUCCACCCCUUCAUCGAUUCUAUUUUCUUUUCUAUAUUUAUAUUUAUCCUUUGAGUGCUGAGUAUACUAUAUGAGCUGCUCGUCAAGACACCAAUCAGCAUCUGAUCUGGAGACACAUGACUACCUGCGCAGCCAUUAGAGGACCAGAUCUGAGCAGGGUUUCAAACCAGCCUAAGUCCUUGACCUAUGCUCCAUUGUUGACCCCGUUCUAGGGAUUUGCUCUUCACACCUGGGAGGGCACUCGACCUGCACAGUUUGAUCAACAGAGGCCUGGAUCUCUAGUUCUUGUAACCUCUCCAAAGUUUCCUGAUUGGUGGCAUCAACCAAGAACCUUAGAUCUCCACAAGCAGCCACCCAUUCUGGCCCCAAUUUUGAGGGCUUGUUGAGAACCACAAUGAGGCCCUUCGGUCCAAGUUUGGUGGCCAACUGAAGUUCCUAUCAUCUGUUCUUGAAGGCCAACAUUAGUUUCCUAAUUGGGAACCAGUUUUCAGAUCUCCAUAUCUGGCCGUCCAAUCAGGCCCAACUUUUAAGGGUUUGGUCAGCACUACAAGAGGAGCAUUCGACCAGAAGUUGAGCCCCUACUGAUCCAGCCUACAGCCAGCCGCAGGCUUCCUCCUAUUUCAGCCAGAUUCAAGAUCCUAAUUGGGGUUGGGUAGUUUCUACAUUGCCUUACAUCAGUCAAUGGCAAGGAUUAACAAUAAGUUGGAGUUAUGGAUAUCUAUCUUGGAAUCAAGAGAUCUUAAGAUAAGUAGAACGAAGAUGGAGUACAUGGUGUGUAACUUUAGCUGCAAAGGACUGAUACCAAAGUGGUAAGACUUUAGGAGAGAGAUUUUGCAAAACGAUUGCUUUAGAUAUUUGGGGUCAACCAUAAACAAGGAAGGUGGGAUAGAUGAUGAUGUUUCUCACAAAAUUAAAGUAGGAUGGAUGAAGUGGAGGGGUGCAUCUGGUGUGUUGUGUGAUCGACAUAUUCCUCUAAAGCUUAAAGGAAAAUUCUAUAGGACCGCCGUAAGACCGGCUAUGUUGUAUGGGGCAAAGUGUUGGGUAGUUAUGAAGCGUAACAUGCAUAAACUAAGUGUAGUAGAGAUGAGAUGGAUGUGCAGCAAAAUAGGAGAGAGAGAGUGAGGAAUGACAAGGUAAGAGCUGAUUUAGGUUAAGUGCCGAGAAUGCCGCUUAAGUGGUAUGGCCAUGUUUAACGGAGGCCUUGGGAUGCUCUACUAAGGAGGAGUGAUUAGAUCCAGUUGGAAGGAGGUUGAAGAGCUAGGGGCAGACAUAAAAUGACCAUUGAUGAGUUGGUAGGCAAAGACAUGCAAAGGCUAGGUCUAGAUCCUGGUAUGAUAUCAAAUAGAGCUGUUUGGAGGGAAAAAAUCCAUGUUGCUGACUGUGUUUAGGUGGGAUGUCCCAGAUAUAUUGCAUUUCUGUUUCAUUUCUGUCUUUCCCCCUUUUCUUUCUUUUUUCCUUGUAUCUUAUACUUGGCAGAUCCAUGUAGCUGAACUCAUUUAGUUGGGACAAGGCUGAGUUGUUGUUGUGCUGUCCACAAUAGAGGUUCUGGUUGUUGCGAUCAAGCUUUGUCACAAAUUCUAUGCUUAUACUGCAUGGUGCAAUAGGGCAAGUGCCUUUGAAUUAUUUUUGAAAGUACAGUGCUUGUUUUUCACUUCUGAAUCCACCCUCCCCCGCCCCUCCGUUUUGCCGUAGGAUACCAUUUUACAGGUUUGCAAGAGGCACUGCAGGAUAUUCAUUAUCCAGCAUGAUUGUCAAAUGAACUUGUCAGAUUUAGUUGUGCACAGACCAAGGUUGUUUAUGCCACUGUUGGUUAGUAUGCUGUUGGGUUAGAGCCUCACCCCAUCCUGGAAUACAUACAUUAAUUCUUUGAUACGACAUUGUGUGAGUGGGAAGAGGCAUGUUAGGUCUUAUCCACUCACUCUGCAACUCUGUAAUUAUUGCAGCAGCUCAAACCAUGUGAAGACGUGAAGAAUCAAACAUUCUUCUAGGAAAUUGACAGACACUACAGGUUUUUGCUGUGCUUUAUCUGUAAUAGCUUAAACAUGUUUUUUUCCCCCUCAAUAAAUACUUGACGUGAUUGAGCCUGCAGCAUAAAUACUGUACACUUGUUCCCAUGCAGUCUACUUGGCUUAAACUUUGAAUGGGAUCUCUAUUGUAAUUCCAUUUGGCUUGGAAGUGGUCUUUCGCCUGUCAUUGGCAGUUUUGACUUGUGAGUUUACUUGUAAGAUAAAGAACAGGUGUGUCUUAACUCCAAAUUUUCUCCUCACUGCAGCUGAAAAAGUAUCCAAA